GAUGAACGCUGGCGGCGUGCCUAAUACAUGCAAGUCGAGCGAACGGACGAGAAGCUUGCUUCUCUGAUGCUAGCGGCGGACGGGUGAGUAACACGUGGAUAACCUACCUAUAAGACUGGGAUAACUUCGGGAAACCGGAGCUAAUACCGGAUAAUAUUUUGAACCGCAUGGUUCAAAAGUAAAAGACGGUCUUGCUGUCACUUAUAGAUGGAUCCGCGCUGCAUUAGCUAGUUGGUAAGGUAACGGCUUACCAAGGCAACGAUGCAUAGCCGACCUGAGAGGGUGAUCGGCCACACUGGAACUGAGACACGGUCCAGACUCCUACGGGAGGCAGCAGUAGGGAAUCUUCCGCAAUGGGCGAAAGCCUGACGGAGCAACGCCGCGUGAGUGAUGAAGGUCUUCGGAUCGUAAAACUCUGUUAUUAGGGAAGAACAUAUGUGUAAGUAACUGUGCACAUCUUGACGGUACCUAAUCAGAAAGCCACGGCUAACUACGUG
RNAcentral lists this ribosomal RNA (497 nucleotides) under uncultured bacterium. RNAcentral's name for it is "partial 16S ribosomal RNA". It matches the Rfam family "Bacterial small subunit ribosomal RNA", at positions 28 to 507 of the family's 1533-position model. The record is from RNAcentral.